RNAcentral lists this ribosomal RNA (248 nucleotides) under uncultured bacterium. RNAcentral describes it as "partial 16S ribosomal RNA". It matches the Rfam family "Bacterial small subunit ribosomal RNA", at positions 523 to 769 of the family's 1533-position model. The record is from RNAcentral.
AUACGAAGGGGGCUAGCGUCGUUCGGAAUUACUGGGCGUUAAAGCGCAUGUAGGCGGACAUUUAAGUCAGGGGUGGAAUCCCGGGGCUCAACCUCGGAACUGCCUUUGAUACUGGGUGUCUAGAGUGUGGAAGAGGUAAGUGGAAUUCCGAGUGUAGAGGUGAAAUUCGUAGAUAUUCGGAGGAACACCAGUGGCGAAGGCGGCUUACUGGUCCAUUACUGACGCUGAGGUGCGAAAGCGUGGGGAGC